GAGUUUGAUCCUGGCUCAGGAUAAACGCUGGCGGCGCACAUAAGACAUGCAAGUCGAACGGACUUAACCAUUAGUUUACUAUUGGAGCGGUUAGUGGCGGACUGGUGAGUAACACGUAAGCAACCUGCCUAUCAGAGGGGAACAACAGUUAGAAAUGACUGCUAAUACCGCAUAUGCCUUGAGUAUCGCAUGGUACAAGAGGGAAAGAAGCAAUUCGCUGAUAGAUGGGCUUGCGUCUGAUUAGAUAGUUGGUGUGGUAACGGCAUACCAAGUCUACGAUCAGUAGCCGGACUGAGAGGUUGAACGGCCACAUUGGGACUGAGAUACGGCCCAGACUCCUACGGGAGGCAGCAGUCGGGAAUAUUGCGCAAUGGAGGAAACUCUGACGCAGUGACGCCGCGUGCAGGAAGAAGGUUUUCGGAUUGUAAACUGCUUUAGACAGGGAAGAAACAAGACAGUACCUGUAGAAUAAGCUCCGGCUAACUACGUGCCAGCCGCCGCGGUAAUAC
Molecule: ribosomal RNA, 509 nt
Filed under: uncultured bacterium
Lineage: Bacteria
Description: bacterial SSU rRNA
Rfam family: Bacterial small subunit ribosomal RNA
Source: RNAcentral